RNAcentral lists this ribosomal RNA (403 nucleotides) under uncultured bacterium. RNAcentral describes it as "bacterial SSU rRNA". It matches the Rfam family "Bacterial small subunit ribosomal RNA", at positions 356 to 773 of the family's 1533-position model. The record is from RNAcentral.
UGGGAAUAUUGGACAAUGGAGGAAACUCUGAUCCAGUGACGCCGCGUGAAGGAAGAAGGUCUUCGGAUUGUAAGCUUAUUUUAUCAGGGAAGAAACAAAUGACUGUACCUGAAGAAAAAGGACCGGCAAACUACGUGCCAGCAGCCGCGGUAAUACGUAGGGUCCAAGCGUUAUCCGGAUUUACUGGGUGUAAAGGGCGAGUAGACGGCAUAGCAAGUCAGAUGUGAAAACUUAGAGCCCAACUUUAAGACUGCAUCUGAAACUGUUAAGCUAGAGUGCAGAAGAGGUAAGUGGAAUUCCUAGUGUAGCGGUGAAAUGCGUAGAUAUUAGGAGGAACACCAGUGGCGAAGGCGACUUACUGGGCUGUAACUGACGUUGAGGAGCGAAAGUGUGGGGAGCAAAC